GUGGAAACCGUGAAUUACUAUAAUGAUUGAAAAUAAUUAUUAAACUAUGAUCUCGACUAUGAUUAAAAUAAUGGAAGUAGAAUGCUAUUUCGACAUUUCGUUGAUUUAAAUUUCAGUAGACAAUAGUUCAUGUUAAUAUUUACAGAAUGUGAUGUAGUUUUGAAAUUUGAAGUUUUACACACAAUAUAAUCAGUGCUAGCACAAUGGCUUCGUUUCAUAGCGUGGCCUUUCACAAACAUAAACGCCUGAUAAUUGAUAAAUAAAUAAUCAGUGCGAGCACAACGGCGCCAAAAUAAUAACAAAUAACAGAAUAUAAGCUAAAUUAAAAACAGCAAAGCUUUACCUACCUCGAUCUAUUUUUCUAUUAAAGGCGCUAAAUUACGUAAAUUUUCGAC
Paramuricea clavata is the source of this 395-nucleotide non-coding RNA. The record is from the annotation of a GenBank genome assembly. NCBI's taxonomy places the organism in Eukaryota, Metazoa, Cnidaria, Anthozoa, Malacalcyonacea, Plexauridae.